GACGAACGCUGGCGGCGUGCUUAACACAUGCAAGUCGAACGGAAAGGCCCUGCUUUUGUGGGGUGCUCGAGUGGCGAACGGGUGAGUAACACGUGAGUAACCUGCCCUUGACUUUGGGAUAACUUCAGGAAACUGGGGCUAAUACCUGAUAGGAUCUCCUGCUGCAUGGUGGGGGUUGGAAAGUUUCGGCGGUUGGGGAUGGACUCGCGGCUUAUCAGCUUGUUGGUGGGGUAGUGGCUUACCAAGGCUUUGACGGGUAGCCGGCCUGAGAGGGUGACCGGCAACAUUGGGACUGAGAUACGGACCAGACUCCAACGGGAGGCAGCAGUGGGGAAUAUUGCACAAUGGGCGGAAGCCUGAUGAAGAAACGCCGCGUGCGGGAUGACGGCCUUCGGGUUGUAAACCGAUUUCGCCUGUGACGAAGCGUGAGUGACGGUAAUGGGUAAAGAAGCACCGGCUAACUACGUG
This 468-nucleotide ribosomal RNA is filed under the name uncultured bacterium. RNAcentral's name for it is "partial 16S ribosomal RNA". It matches the Rfam family "Bacterial small subunit ribosomal RNA", at positions 28 to 507 of the family's 1533-position model. The record is from RNAcentral.